Molecule: long non-coding RNA, 149 nt
Organism: Melospiza melodia melodia
Lineage: Eukaryota; Metazoa; Chordata; Aves; Passeriformes; Passerellidae
Exons: 3
Source: RefSeq, a predicted model, not a curated record
AAAAGAAUGCAGCCAAUCUCCAAGGAGCUAAGCAGGUUUUAGCAUCGCCAGUUGCCUGUAGUCAUAACGUGGAUGUUGAAUUGAUUCGAAGGUGAUCAGGUGCUGCAUCAUCUUUAUUUUCACACAUCAAAGUUCAGGAAACAUUCAAG